UACGGGGGGGGCAAGCGUUGUUCGGAAUUACUGGGCGUAAAGGGCUCGUAGGUGGCCAACUAAGUCAGACGUGAAAUCCCUCGGCUUAACCGGGGAACUGCGUCCGAUACUGGAUGGCUUGAGUUUGGGAGAGGGAUGCGGAAUUCCAGGUGUAGCGGUGAAAUGCGUAGAUAUCUGGAGGAACACCGGUGGCGAAGGCGGCAUCCUGGACCAACACUGACGCUGAGGAGCGAAAGCCAGGGGAGCAAACGGG
RNAcentral lists this ribosomal RNA (253 nucleotides) under uncultured bacterium. RNAcentral describes it as "partial 16S ribosomal RNA". It matches the Rfam family "Bacterial small subunit ribosomal RNA", at positions 524 to 776 of the family's 1533-position model. The record is from RNAcentral.